AUUUGAGUCGAUUUUAAGUGUUGCUUUUUUUCAAUCAAGUCAAGUUUGAGUUUGAGAUAUUAAGAAUCAAUUAAUCUCCAGUUGAAUUUGAAGUCCGAGUAUUUUGAAUUAAAUCGAGCUCGAACUUCUAACUAUUUGAUUCAACUUGACUCGAUUAUACCUCUGCACCCAAGUUACGAUGGAGUGACUUUACCACUGGACC
RNAcentral lists this long non-coding RNA (202 nucleotides) under Elaeis guineensis (African oil palm). RNAcentral's name for it is "long non-coding RNA (EGUI_LNC023321)". Lineage: Eukaryota; Viridiplantae; Streptophyta; Magnoliopsida; Arecales; Arecaceae. The record is from RNAcentral.